CCCUUAGAUGUCCUGGGCCGCACGCGCGUUACACUGAUGCAUUCAACGAGCUUAUAACCUUGGCCGAGAGGCCUGGGCAAUCUUGUUAACGUGCAUCGUGAUAGGGAUAGAUUAUUGAAAUUAUUAAUCUUGAACGAGGAAUUCCUAGUAAACGCAGAUCAUCAAUCUGCCUUGAUUACGUCCCUGCCCUUUGUACACACCGCCCGUCGCACCUACCGAUUGGAUGGUCCGGUGAAGCCUCGGGAUUGUGGUUCUUGCCGCUUUAUUGUGGCGUGACCGCGAGAACUUGUCUAAACCUUAUCAUCUAGAGGAAGGUGAAGUCGUAACA
Molecule: ribosomal RNA, 328 nt
Filed under: uncultured eukaryote
Lineage: Eukaryota
Description: partial 18S ribosomal RNA
Rfam family: Eukaryotic small subunit ribosomal RNA
Source: RNAcentral